RNAcentral lists this non-coding RNA (29 nucleotides) under Bombyx mori (domestic silkworm). Lineage: Eukaryota; Metazoa; Arthropoda; Insecta; Lepidoptera; Bombycidae. The record is from RNAcentral.
UUGCUCAAGGUCACUGACGACAUUCGCCA